UAUAUUGUUCCAGUAAUCCAACUAAGUACGAAAGGAAUAGUUUGGUCAGACAGUUAAUUUAGCUUUCGGUUGAAAAACCAAUAUAGCAACUAUUUUAUGUCUGUUGUGAUAAUAGCUGAAAGCAUCUUAAGCUAGAAUCCAUUCUGUAUAUACAAUAUAUGAUUAUUUUUCUUUGUCUUGGUAAUUUUUUUUUUACUGUUAAUGUAAAAAGAGAACACAUAUUAUAUUACAAAAGCAUUUUUAUAAAUGUAUUUAGAAAUAUAAAUAAUCCACUUUAUAUUUAAAUAUGUACAUUAUAUAUAUAUAUAUAUGUGUACAUAUUUAUAAUAUUUAUUAAUUUAGCAACAAAGAAAACGAGAGAAAAACUGUAGACGACUUUUUUGCCUCGGAGUGCUGUAACCAUGAUAGUAAACCAUUUUAAGUUUUACGAUCUGCUGAGGCUUAUCUCCUGUGGUCAAAUUCU
This is a ribosomal RNA of Plasmodium falciparum Dd2, 463 nucleotides long. It matches the Rfam family "Eukaryotic large subunit ribosomal RNA", at positions 3007 to 3399 of the family's 3401-position model. The record is from Rfam. Lineage: Eukaryota; Apicomplexa; Aconoidasida; Haemosporida; Plasmodiidae.